RNAcentral lists this ribosomal RNA (1362 nucleotides) under uncultured Sphingomonadales bacterium. Its description in RNAcentral is "partial 16S ribosomal RNA". It matches the Rfam family "Bacterial small subunit ribosomal RNA", at positions 28 to 1380 of the family's 1533-position model. Lineage: Bacteria; Pseudomonadati; Pseudomonadota; Alphaproteobacteria; Sphingomonadales. The record is from RNAcentral.
AUUGAACGCUGGCGGCAGGCUUAACACAUGCAAGUCGAGCGGAAACGAAGGGUGCUUGCACCCAGGCGUCGAGCGGCGGACGGGUGAGUAACGCGUAGGAAUCUACCUGGCAGUGGGGGAUAGCCCGGAGAAAUCCGGAUUAAUACCGCAUACACUCUACGGAGUAAAGAAGGCCUCUCCUUGGAAGCUUUUGCUGUUAGAUGAGCCUGCGUCGGAUUAGCUAGUUGGUGGGGUAAAGGCCUACCAAGGCGACGAUCCGUAGCUGGUCUGAGAGGAUGAUCAGCCACACUGGGACUGAGACACGGCCCAGACUCCUACGGGAGGCAGCAGUGGGGAAUAUUGGACAAUGGGCGCAAGCCUGAUCCAGCCAUGCCGCGUGUGUGAAGAAGGCCUUAGGGUUGUAAAGCACUUUAAGCAGGGAGGAAGGCCUUGUAGUUAAUACCUGCAAGGAUUGACGUUACCUGCAGAAUAAGCACCGGCUAAUUUCGUGCCAGCAGCCGCGGUAAUACGAAAGGUGCGAGCGUUAAUCGGAAUUACUGGGCGUAAAGCGCGCGUAGGUGGUUUGGUAAGUUGGGUGUGAAAGCCCCGGGCUCAACCUGGGAACUGCAUUCAAAACUGCCAGGCUAGAGUACAGUAGAGAGGGGUAGAAUUUCAGGUGUAGCGGUGGAAUGCGUAGAUAUCUGAAGGAAUACCGGUGGCGAAGGCGGCCCCUUGGACUGAUACUGACACUGAGGUGCGAAAGCGUGGGUAGCAAACAGGAUUAGAUACCCUGGUAGUCCACGCCGUAAACGAUGAGAACUAGCUGUCGGGGCGCUUGGCGUUUCGGUGGCGCAGCUAACGCGUUAAGUUCUCCGCCUGGGGAGUACGGCCGCAAGGUUAAAACUCAAAGAAAUUGACGGGGGCCUGCACAAGCGGUGGAGCAUGUGGUUUAAUUCGAAGCAACGCGCAGAACCUUACCAGCGUUUGACAUGCCAGGACGGUUUCCAGAGAUGGAUUCCUCCCCUUACGGGGCCUGGACACAGGUGCUGCAUGGCUGUCGUCAGCUCGUGUCGUGAGAUGUUGGGUUAAGUCCCGCAACGAGCGCAACCCUCGUCUCUAGUUGCUACCAUUUAGUUGGGCACUCUAGAGAAACCGCCGGUGAUAAGCCGGAGGAAGGUGGGGAUGACGUCAAGUCCUCAUGGCCCUUACGCGCUGGGCUACACACGUGCUACAAUGGCGGUGACAGUGAGCAGCGACCCCGCGAGGGUGAGCUAAUCUCCAAAAGCCGUCUCAGUUCGGAUUGUUCUCUGCAACUCGAGAGCAUGAAGGCGGAAUCGCUAGUAAUCGCGGAUCAGCAUGCCGCGGUGAAUACGUUCCCAGGCC